This 671-nucleotide long non-coding RNA is filed under the name Rattus norvegicus (Norway rat). Its description in RNAcentral is "long non-coding RNA NONRATT026080". Lineage: Eukaryota; Metazoa; Chordata; Mammalia; Rodentia; Muridae. The record is from RNAcentral.
GCAUGCGUGCUGAGCCACCCAGAGGCAAAAACCGAUAAGAAAUAAACACUUUUGGAAACUUGUGUGAUGAAGUUUGAAAUCCACAGCUGAGUGAAGCAAGGGGUCACGACGUGGUUAGUUGCUAUGUUGGAGCAUGGAUUUUGGAAUAACAUAAAUCUGCUUUCCUGGUCUGUGGUCACUCCCAUUUGGCUCCAUGUCUUAUGCCUUUCAAGACUGGAUGGAAGGCUAGCAGAGGCCCAAAGGAGUCAGGCUGUGACCCACCGCUCAGCUUCUUUCACAGACUCCUCAGCACAACACAGCCCCGUCUUCAGUUGCCCUGGACAGGGUGAAGACAGGCUCGAAGACAGUUCAUGGCAUAAUCUUUGGACUUCUUUUAUCUGCCAGCCAACAUUUAUCCCAGACUGGUCUUGACAGCAAUAAUCCUGAUCCAAUGUCAGCAUGCUCGAUAAAACUGCUGGGUUCUGAGCCUCCUGUUCUCCUCCACAUCCUUCAGUUUCUACAUGUCCCUAACUGGUGACAUCUCAUAAAUUUGUUUUCUGUCCAGGUCAUAGGCGUCCUGGCACUUGAGCUGAGCCCGAGACCACUUGGUGAUCCCAUCGGAGGGAUUACCCAUCCUGCCUUGUGUUUAGUGCAGAGGGAGAGGAACAGCCUGACGCCAACCUGGCUACAAG